CAGAGUUGCAAAACUCCCACAAACCAUCGCGAAUCUUACCCGUACGGUUGCCUCGGCGCUGGCGGUCCGGAAGGCCCUCGGGCCCCCCGGAUCCUCGGGUCUCCCGCUCGCGGGAGGCUGCCCGCCGGAGUGCCGAAACCAAACUCUUGAUAUUUUAUGUCUCUCUGAGUAAACUUUUAAAUAGGUCA
Molecule: unclassified non-coding RNA, 188 nt
Filed under: soil metagenome
Description: partial internal transcribed spacer 1
Source: RNAcentral